This 106-nucleotide small nucleolar RNA is filed under the name Gossypium hirsutum (cotton). RNAcentral describes it as "Plant small nucleolar RNA R71". It matches the Rfam family "Plant small nucleolar RNA R71". From Rfam's summary of the family: R71 is a member of the C/D box family of snoRNAs containing the C (UGAUGA) and D (CUGA) box motifs. The record is from Rfam by way of RNAcentral. Lineage: Eukaryota; Viridiplantae; Streptophyta; Magnoliopsida; Malvales; Malvaceae.
AACCCAUAGUGAAGGCACCUUCUCAAAAGGUCAUUGUAUCUCUCCCAUGCAUCGUAGAGUGUUUCUAAUUCAUCUGCACAAAAGAAGAGAUAUCAUUACGUAAGUU